UGCGCAUGCGUGCGGGGCUGCUAGUUUCGGUUCCCGGCGGCCGCCGCUGGCGGGUGGCGGUUACGGGAAGAGAGCGGGGGGGCCGCGGAGGGCGAGGGCGAGCCCGGCCGUUCUGGUGGCGGGGGGCGUCCCGACAUGGCGUGUCCGGCGCCAGCCGGGUCUCGAAGCGCGGUGGCCGUGAGGGAGGGCUGGCCGGCCGCCCCUCCCCCCCCCCCGUGCUGGGUGUGAGGGGAGGUUUCCCGCUCCCGCCCUCGCGGUGCGAGGCGGUUGAGCUUUUGGUUGAAGAAUUGUUUUGUGGCAAUAGGAAAUUGCUACUUGCCCCCCAAAAAGUACUAUGUGGUUUGUAGCACAAUCGUGUCUCUCUCAUGACAGGUUUGGUACGGGUUGGUGCAACGAGUGCUAAUGGUGGUGUUUAAGCUUAUAAUGAUUGACAAGAAGUCCCUCAGUGACGGACAGCCAGGUUGACAUUGCUGGAAUUUAUCAGACAUCUGUCACUCUCCACCUCACUGCAUACAAUUCUUUGUUGUGGAUCUGCGAGGAAAAUAAAAGUGGAGUCUGGAGACUUUUUUUCA
RNAcentral lists this long non-coding RNA (572 nucleotides) under Apteryx rowi (Okarito brown kiwi). Its description in RNAcentral is "lncRNA (ENSARWG00000007359.1)". Lineage: Eukaryota; Metazoa; Chordata; Aves; Apterygiformes; Apterygidae. The record is from RNAcentral.